GAAUCUAUCUAAACGCGUUUUAUCCCGGAGUUUUCUCCUACACUAGUCUCACAUUCAGAUCUUUCACAGACCUGUUUACCCAAGUGGAUCACACUAGGUGAAUAAUUGAUGUAUUCUGUAUGUCAGGAAAAGAAAGACACAGAUAAUGAAAUUCACCCUCAAAUACAGUUUAGGUACAUAUAGGUAUAUAUGUCUGUGCAUAUAUUACAGCAGUGUUAUACAGGGGGUUUUCAAAAGAUUCAAAGUUCUCAUUGCUUAAUUGCAUAUUUUAUUUUUUUAUAUAUUUAUAUUCAACUCACAUGUAGCUGAAAGGCUCUUAAGGAGCUUAAGGAAGCAUAUUUAUAACAGUUGCCUUUUAGAAAUAGGGGAGAAAAACUUUUCUGUGUGUAGAAAGUUAUGCUUGUAGUAUUUAGUCAUCUCUGACCUGAAACCAUAAAUAUUUUGGUUUUCUAAAAACUCCGUUAUUCAGUGGCUUUUGCCAGAAUCUUGUCAGAACUAUAGGAGUUUAUAAUUUUAUUUUGAAAUGAUAGUUCCUAGCAGCAUAGGGAUCCAGCUGUAUUAAAUUUUUGGUCAGUUGGACACUGGUGUUUCACUGCUUGGCCACACUCUUUGUGUACUAAGAUAUAAGAGAGAAAGAUUUCGGUAGUCAAAAGAGGCAAAAGGAGUUAGUGGCUGUUCAGUGAGAAGGAGAUGGAAACACGGCGUAAAUAAAUAUAAACUGCUGCUCCGCAAGUGUUUGCAGGUCAUCUUUGGCUUAUGCUGUUUUUCUUGAACCUCCUGUACUGAGCAUUGCAUAACCCCUGUUGCCAAGAAAAGAUCCAGUUGCACUUUAUUUGAAUAAUAGAGCUAAGUGGAUUAUGGAAAAACUGCGUACACGAAUUGUGUUGAGGUGGUCCAAACAGCUAUUUAUAGGGCCCUUAAACACCAAAACUGGCACACCAAAUGUUGAGAAAAUCCAAAAUGAUGUAAUUUUUCCAAUCAGGCUUUUAAAAAGCAUAUAAUGAGAUAUUUAAAUAUUGUGAUGCAGAAGUUUUCUAAAAUCUGUCAAGCAUUAUGUUUUGGUUAUUAACACUUGUUUUUCUACAGGCCAAUGAAAUGGAAAGUUGUAUAAACUAGCUAGAUAUUGUAUCCUGCAUUACUUAAAAUUAUUUCUUUGAUACACCUAGAAAUUUAACAUGCAUGCUGCCCUAAAGACAUCCUCCUUCUGCAACAUGAAAUACAAUGUACACGUGUUUCCUUCUCCACUUCAAAGCUCUUGAACCUCUUUGCAACAUAGAAUGAAGGUCCCGUGCAUGUCUGACAUGGCUCUUAGCGCAGGGAAUGAUUUCAGCUUCUCCCAGGCAGAGGCUCCUCCUACGGUACACAAAGGCUGUUUGUGUAGAGUAUUAUGUGAUGCAAGAGCUAAGCUUUUAUAUUUUAUGUGCCUGGGGAAAUGGCAGAGAUUUUAGGGAAAGGAUUGUCCCAAGGAGCAUCUCACUCUCUGCUGAAACUCUGUCCUAGUCAGUAGUCUCAUUUCUCCCUUCCAGCCCAGUAUCAUCAUUCCCAGCUCACUCCUCCUUCUAUUUAGGGCUGAUGCCAUUUCAUUUAACAUUUAUAAGGACAACCUUUUAGGCCUCUCUGCGCCUUCAUGAUUUCCUGAAAUGUAGUAAAGGUCAUAGCAGCCAGACCGUUGUCCCAAGGUGGGCUAGCCUAAAGCUCACAGCCUGCUUGCAGAUUCUGGUCCAGUAAGGACUGAUAACUGCAAAGACUGAUUGAAGCAGAUUAUUUGGGAUGCUGUUCUGGGCUGCCCUAUCUCCACUUCCAUUUAUCCUGGGAAAGAUUCAAGAAUGGGGAGCUGAGUGGCUUUUUUUUUUUUUUUUGUUGAUUCAACUUUGAAAAAAUCUGCCUGCUUUUCUAUGCUUCUCAUUUGGGGGAAUAACACGGACAGCUUUUAACUUAGAAGCAUCACCUGUCAGCAUAUUCCUUUUUCACAUGUUGGAGCCUAAGUUUGUGAGACUUUUGCUCUGUUAUUUCAGGAGACUGGUGCAAACUUGCACAAAAAUGCUUUUUGAACAACGUAAUGUAAAAUGACACUAGCAGCUAUACAUUACAUCUUUUAUACAUCUGUACUCUCCAAGCACUCCUAGCACUAAUAAAAUGUUUCUGGGUGGAGUUAGCAGUAGUAUCUAAUUGAGUAAGAAACAAGUUUAUUCUGUUGUCCACGUAUGGAAGCUUCCUAACCUCUUGAUUUCCUUUUGAAUUUCUUGAUUUAUUCCUGCCAGUGUUUGUUUUAAAACAGAAGUUCUCAGCAUGUGUCUUGCCCAGUGACAUUAGGAAAUUUCUUGGCUGAGGCUUUCUGCAAGUGGAUCAAAGUAAUUGGGGAUCUUGCUGUGAGCCAGCAUCAAGAGCUGACCUUCUUUGAAAAGCAGGUUGACUACUCAUAAUCAGUGCAGGCAGGAUAUCUAGAAGAGCUGCACCAACUCUACCAGGUAACAAAUAAAUGAAAUGUCUCAUUAUUGAUUUUUUUAGUCUGAGGUUUGGUUUGUUUUUGU
Molecule: long non-coding RNA, 2531 nt
Organism: Pezoporus occidentalis (night parrot)
Lineage: Eukaryota; Metazoa; Chordata; Aves; Psittaciformes; Psittacidae
Exons: 3
Source: RefSeq, a predicted model, not a curated record